UGUUUGAAAAUGCAAACAUUUGACGGAUAGAAAACAUGUUGUAGACCUAUGUUCCUGAAUUACUAUACGCACCAUGCUGCCUUGUUGACAAUAUGAUCGCGCAUUUGAAAUGGCCGUUCAGUCUAAUCGAACUCCCUGAAUAUCCAGCAGGUGCGAGCGCUUAGUAAUUAGAGAAAAAAAGUCCGUAACUAAGGAUAUUUAUAGGGACAUGACCGACGGGGGAGAUUUACGUUCGACUGAGUCCACAAACAACCCGCUGCGUCAUGGUUCUUCCUGGGCUUCAGGUUUGGAGAUGGAUACUCUUUGCCUGCAUUCACUGGCUUUGUGUCUGUCAAGAGACUCCAAGACCGGUUUACAUGGUAGCCAUUCCUGCAGUGAUCCAGGCAGGCUCAGAGGCCAAGCUUUGUGCCAGCCUUCUGCAGCCCAACGAGACCCUGGUCAUGACCGUAUCUCUGAUGGCCGACGGGCAGAACAAGAGACUUCUCCACCAGAGUUCUGACCAAGAGUUUCACCGCUGUUUCC
This is a long non-coding RNA of Salvelinus namaycush (lake trout), 522 nucleotides long. RefSeq lists it as uncharacterized. The transcript is spliced from 3 exons. NCBI's taxonomy places the organism in Eukaryota, Metazoa, Chordata, Actinopteri, Salmoniformes, Salmonidae. The record is from RefSeq and is a predicted model, not a curated record.